Long non-coding RNA from Paramisgurnus dabryanus, 2247 nucleotides. RefSeq lists it as uncharacterized. The record is from RefSeq and is a predicted model, not a curated record. NCBI's taxonomy places the organism in Eukaryota, Metazoa, Chordata, Actinopteri, Cypriniformes, Cobitidae.
UCGGGUGCGCACUUAAAGGCCGCUCCGAGACCGCUCUAAACAGGUGGUCUCGAAGCAGCUGUCGCCGAACUCUGGGGCGACCCACCUGUGGUGUGAACACUGCUGGACCUCGGGCCAAACCAAAUACAGGAAGUCCUCCACAUGUUUGAGCCACUGGGCUUCCGUUGUGACGUGAGCCGGGUGUUAUAUUGUGGGUUAACAACAAACAAGCCAAUCCUGGUCCGUGGCAGAGAUUCGCAGUCUCCUUUAUGUUUGAGCUGAUGAUUUUAUAAAUGCAUAGCUGUCCUCCACAGACAAAUAGUGACAUUACGGGCUUUUUAGCAAACGGCUCCGUGAGAAAAACUUUAAUAGAACAGCUAUCCAAUUUCGCGUUAAAGCAAAGAAACUUCGCAAAGACGUGCAUCGUUUAUCUCCACAUCUUGAUAGCUGCGCUCUCCCUGUCAGGCUGGUUGUCGUGGAAACGUGGGGGUGGUCAUGAGACGGUAAGAGCUGUCAGAGACCAAUGACAGGGCUGACCGUUGUCACAUGGUGUACGGUGCGGCAUUUCGAGUACAGCAAAAAAUAUAUAUGUGAACACGGACCGCACUAACUGAAAAAUGAUACAAUGUAUUUUGGUGCCCUCCGAGGCCGCACCACGGUACGCACCAACAUAUGUGAAAACAGCCUCAGGCAGUUGGCCUAACGGUACAUUCACACGGGGCGUAAGCGUUAACGCUUAACGGAAGGCUUGUCUGAAGUGUGGCCAACAGCCAAUCACUGUGGCCGCAACACAAGCUCCGGUCUUCCAUAAACGUAACUGGCUGGCUCUGCCUAGGUUAUUUGCAUAAGGCGAUAUGAUUGGCUGACGCACGCGUUGCCGCUUGAAAAGUUGAGAAAUGUUCAACUUCUGCCGUUAAAAGUGAAUGGGAAGCGUCAACGUUUAUGCCCCGUGUUAAUGCGCCGUAAGAGCGGAGCAGAGGUGUAUGCCAGUUUGGACUGGCCGUGUGUGAACUGGUUACUGCUGAGAGUGUAUACACUGUAAAACUUUUCUGUAAAUUUACAGCGAAUUUUCAAAAAACAGUGUUAGACUGUAUAUUUACAAAUAUUUACAGAAUGUCUGUAAAUUUACAGAAUUGUCCUGUUUUCAGCAUGCAAAAUUCGUAAUACAGAAUAAUACUGUAAAAGCAAUGCAUUGUGGGAUUGAUUUCCUUCGCGCUCAAUAUUUGAAUGUAAGCAGAGCUAGUGCUUCGGAAGUUCGGACGCCCUUUAUUUGUUAGGAUUGGUUAUUCAUAUAAACAACAACGAUAUGAAGACAACGCGUUCAACUUUUAAUCUAUAGCUGCGUGUGAUGUGAAAACGUACACGGAACAAUUAAAAGUUACACGACGACGCGGCAGAAAUGAGAGGAUUAUGCAUGCAACAAGAAGACGGGGAGAAUACAAUGUGUCUGUGAUGAAGAUAAACGAAGAUUGACUGACUGUGCAUCAUUGACACGGUCCGUCUCUAAGCAACCAGCGCUGGAUGUUGAGCAUGUACGGUCAGGUUGUGUGUGAAGGAGAGCAGCGCAACUUUUUCUCUGGUCUUGCAACGAUCAGAUUUGCCUCAUUCUACAAUUUUAACCUCCAGGAUCUGGAAGCGGUGGCAUGCACCAUUGGGUUUGUUCAGAGAUGAUUUCCCUACAUUAACCUGGAACGUGGAUCAAAGAUGAAGAAAGGGAAAAAGAACACUACAGUGAAUCCACAGGUUUCUACUCUUCUUAGAAAACUUACAGACUUUAAGUGCAAUUUUCUUUAGACACUUCCACUAUCCAGUGUAGUUGAAUUAAAAGGAAAUAAAGUUUCCUACAUUGUUAAUGAUGUGCUGUUAAUUGAAAUACAAACGUACAGCUGGCAUUUCAUCCAAUAUGCUUAUGUUAAAGGGACACUUCAACCAUUUGCAUUAAGCUUUGUAUAGUUAGAACCCCACUCAUGUUUUUGAAUGGUCGUGCAUUAUUUCCUCAGUUUCCGCUGAGACAGGAGAAAUACAGAUUUCAGUGUUGCACUUCCUUCUUUCAAUGAUGUAAAAAUCAUCAUUUUGUAUCAUUGAAAGAAGGAAGUCCAAUAUCUUUGUUGAGGGGGUGAGACUAAAAACACCCCUUUUUUCGGUCAAAUAGGCACCAAAUUCGAAAUGUUUGUUACAUUUCGAGUAUGAAUAUGACGCACUUUCAAUAAAGAUUAAUGUUUCUAAGGGUGAAAUGCUCCUUUAAAGAAUUAAUCCACUUUUAAAAUG